UCACCUGGGGAGAGACUGGUGGGUCAGACUACAGGAGGCUGCGGAGAACCUCCCCCGGAGCACCCCUGCGGGCGGCUCUGGGUUUCAGCAUCGGGGACGCGGCCCCGGCCCGGGAACCAAGUGGAGAGCCACCCCAGCCAGGAAGACUGCCCCUUCCUCAGACGUGCUCGGCAAAGUCUUCCGCCAGGAUGUCCCCUGGGAACCUGCGGGGCGGAGAGGGAGUUUUACGGGUAGAUGGCAGUGCCAGCUGCACGACAAUGGGCGUGGACUUCGUGCCACUGAACCGGGCACUUAAAAACGGUCUGCAGUGCUGCACUUCCAAAGGCUGCCCCUCAGGCCAUCCUCUGAGUCAGUGCUCCGCAGCACUUUGGUUUUUUCUGGAUCCACCCUCUUCUGAGCACCCUCUCCUGGUUGGCACCACCACCGGCCUCUCUGGCUGCUGCUGCUCCUCCUCAUUGGUAGGCCCCUCACCCUCCAUCCAUCCUAAAAGGGGGGCGUUCCCGGGAGUCCAUCCUCGUCUCCCCCUUUCUCACUGGACACACGCUUCUCAUAGGGUUUGACCACUUCUGUAGCUUCACCUUCGUCUACAGUUUCUAAAUCUCCAGUCCCCACUUCUCCCCGUCCUGAGCUUCAGACCUGUUUCCCACCAGCCUCCAGGAAUCUCCACCUGCGAGGCACCGAGGUUGAGGAUGGCAAAAUGCUCGACGUGUAGGCGGGACCAGACUUGGAAUCCAGUGGGUGCAGAGAUUUGUCGCAGGGGCAGUGCACCCACCUCUGGUGGCCACAAGCCCCAUGGACAGCAAGGGGAUCAAACCAGUCCAUCCUAAAGGAAAUCAACCCUGAAUAUUCACUAGAAGGAC
Capra hircus (goat) is the source of this 860-nucleotide long non-coding RNA. RefSeq lists it as uncharacterized. The transcript has 5 exons. The record is from RefSeq and is a predicted model, not a curated record. Lineage: Eukaryota; Metazoa; Chordata; Mammalia; Artiodactyla; Bovidae.